Molecule: ribosomal RNA, 460 nt
Filed under: uncultured bacterium
Lineage: Bacteria
Description: partial 16S ribosomal RNA
Rfam family: Bacterial small subunit ribosomal RNA
Source: RNAcentral
CCUACGGGAGGCUGCAGUGAGGAAUAUUGGUCAAUGGACGAGAGUCUGAACCAGCCAAGUAGCGUGAAGGAUGACUGCCCUAUGGGUUGUAAACUUCUUUUAUAAAGGAAUAAAACGAGGCACGUGUGCCUUUUUGCAUGUACUUUAUGAAUAAGGAUCGGCUAACUCCGUGCCAGCAGCCGCGGUAAUACGGAGGAUCCGAGCGUUAUCCGGAUUUAUUGGGUUUAAAGGGAGCGUAGAUGGGUUGUUAAGUCAGUUGUGAAAGUUUGCGGCUCAACCGUAAAAUUGCAAUUGAUACUGGUAGUCUUGAGUACAGUUGAGGUAGGCGGAAUUCGUGGUGUAGCGGUGAAAUGCUUAGAUAUCACGAAGAACCCCGAUUGCGAAGGCAGCUUACUAAACUGUGACUGACAUUGAUGCUCGAAAGUGUGGGUAUCAAACAGGAUUAGAUACCCCUGUAGUC